This is a long non-coding RNA of Brassica rapa (field mustard), 1191 nucleotides long. RefSeq lists it as uncharacterized. The record is from RefSeq and is a predicted model, not a curated record. NCBI's taxonomy places the organism in Eukaryota, Viridiplantae, Streptophyta, Magnoliopsida, Brassicales, Brassicaceae.
GAAAUACAUUCUUAAAGAGAGGUGGAUACCUUUGAUGUUAUACUGGACUAAAAUCUCAUUUGGGCCACAUCUCAAGCCCAAUUUACCUUAGCUGCUGAGAAUGUGAAAGUUAGCCCAUUGAGCUUCACAAUUUAUGAUUAGUCCUGAAAACGUUUAUUAACUCUAUAGGAGUAUAUUGGUUCAGGAUCCAAGCAAGUUUGUGGCAGCGGCUGCACUGGUUUCAGGAGAGUCUGGUGGAGCUAUUGUGGUGGUGGCUGUGGAGGAAGAGUCUGAUUGGUUUAUAAUAUGUGUCUUAGGCUUUCACCAAUUAUUUUUAUUAUUAUCAAUUUAAAUUGAACAUCUAAAAUUUUCACUUUCUGAAUUUCUUUGCUGCACGUUUUAUUGAUAUUUUGUAUAUCUAUCAACAAUUGAUUUCUGGUUCUUUAAGUUUAGUUCCGUCCAUCUUUUUUUUGAACCAAUUAUAUUGGUUAACAGUUUCAGUUUUACACGUAUUGGCAUGAUGAAGUUUCUAUGGUCAUCAGUUUGGCAUAAUACUUUAUUUAUAAUAUAGUUUUGGCUGUUUAUGUUUGGACAAAUGCUUGAGCUUUGAAGUUUCAAAUGUCAGGAGAUCUGAUAAUGAUUUCUAUUAGAAAGUUUAUAAAAUCUAGUCGUUUAGGAUUCUUUAAUUACGAGUUAGUGUUAAUUAAAGUCUUUGCUUAUGGUCGCACAUUCAUCGUUUUCAGGUUAUUCCAAAUGGUGGUUCGGAAUUACCAAACCUUGUAACGUUUACUUUCUUUGUGCUUAUUAUAUGAUUUUGGUGUAUUAUUUAACAGCACGGUUAGCCUCAAAUACAUAUCAAGAAAAAUAAGAGCAUCAGAUUAGUAAGUUUUAUUUAAGAAAAUAUUACUUGUUUUAUGUUUUCUUUAUAAAUUGCUUAAAGAAGAAUUAAAGGGGAUAAUCACGCAUCUUUUCUUUGUCUGAUUGAAAAACAAGCAUGUUCUAUGAGAAAAUGGAUGAGACUCAUUCUAGGCAUUUCCCAUGAGAGGAAGGAACAUAAGCGUGGGAACUGCGUAGAUUAAAGAGGAACAUAAGAAGAAAAAUGAAGUGAAGAAGGCUUUUGGUGGAUAAGGACUUCUUCCUGCAGUGAGAUGCCAUUUUGUGCUAACAUCGGUAUUAUUCCAAGUUCCAAGUUGUAUCCAUUUGCUUUGUCAA